ACUUUUUUAAUAUAUAAAGUAUAUUUGACUUCCAAUCAAAAAGUCUAAUUUUUUUAGAAAAAGUA
RNAcentral lists this transfer RNA (65 nucleotides) under Ocypode ceratophthalmus. RNAcentral describes it as "tRNA-Gly". Lineage: Eukaryota; Metazoa; Arthropoda; Malacostraca; Decapoda; Ocypodidae. The record is from RNAcentral.